GAUAACCUGAUAACCAGGUUAUAACCAGGUUAUAACCUGGUUAUUACCAGGUUAUAACCAGGUUAUAACCUGGUUAUUACCUGGUUAUAACC
Molecule: microRNA precursor, 92 nt
Filed under: Xyrichtys novacula (pearly razorfish)
Lineage: Eukaryota; Metazoa; Chordata; Actinopteri; Labriformes; Labridae
Source: RNAcentral